This 374-nucleotide ribosomal RNA is filed under the name uncultured organism. RNAcentral's name for it is "partial 16S ribosomal RNA". It matches the Rfam family "Bacterial small subunit ribosomal RNA", at positions 527 to 896 of the family's 1533-position model. The record is from RNAcentral.
GUAGGUGGCAAGCGUUGUCCGGAAUUAUUGGGGCGUAAAGCGCGCGCAGGCGGUUCUUUAAGUCUGAUGUGAAAGCCCACGGGCUCAACCGCGGAGGGUCAUUGGAAACUGGAGAACUUGAGUACAGAAGAGGAAAGCGGAAUUCCACGUGUAGCGGUGAAAUGCGUAGAGAUGUGGAGGAACACCAGUGGCGAAGGCGGCUUUCUGGUCUGUAACUGACGCUGAGGCGCGAAAGCGUGGGGAGCAAACAGGAUUAGAUACCCUGGUAGUCCACGCCGUAAACGAUGAGUGCUAAGUGUUAGGGGGUUUCCGCCCCUUAGUGCUGCAGCUAACGCAUUAAGCACUCCGCCUGGGGAGUACGGCCGCAAAGGCUG